Molecule: ribosomal RNA, 1424 nt
Filed under: Annachlamys macassarensis
Lineage: Eukaryota; Metazoa; Mollusca; Bivalvia; Pectinida; Pectinidae
Description: 16S ribosomal RNA
Rfam family: Bacterial large subunit ribosomal RNA
Source: RNAcentral
UGAAUCAUCUUUUAUCGUUGUAGUAGGGGAGACCGAAUUAAACUAAAUUUAAGCGAUAGUAAACUUGGUAUACGUGAGUGGAUUUAGGAAAACAAGUGAGUAUCAGUGAUGGGUGUUCGUACCUUUUGCAUCAUGGCCAUACUACUUUCUAUUCUUAGGGAGUAACCCGAAAAUUCUGUGAUCUACUUCUCCGCUAGGGGUUGGCGUUGGAUAGCUAUCCGGAGACGGAGAGAUAGUGGCGAUAUACUUUUCGCACGGGUUGAUAGCUGGUUGCCCUAGAAAUAUAUCUAAGUAUAGCUUUUUGUAGGAUGCACUCUAAGGGUAAGGGUUUUUAAGUGUUGGUAAUUUUUACUAAUAUUUAAGGUUUUAGAAGGUAAGUGUUUUUUUUAAAAAGUUGGCCUUUUCAGGCUAAGCUGAGAGGGUGAUUGUAAAAGGGCUGUGGCGAAGCUAAAGAAUUUGAAGUGGGCUUGAAGGAGCCAUCUUUUUGGAGUGGGUUAUACCUCAAGGGUUUUUAGCAGGCAUAAAUAGAAGUUUUUCUACCCUUUUUUGUCUAUGGGGCUUUUUUAUGAAAUUAAGUUAGUAAAAGUGACAAUGUAGGGAUGAGUAGUCGAGAUAGCGUAGUUGUUUUUUAUUCGGGGGAUAAAACGUGAAGGGUUAAAACCGUACUGGUAAACAAAGUUAAAGGAACUCGGCAAGAAAGAGGACCGCCUGUUUAACAAAAACAUGGCUUUCUGGAUAAUAUGGGGGGUCGUGCCUUCCCGGUGAGCUUUCGAGCUUAAACGGACGCGGUAAAUCGUGCUAAGGUAGCUAAAUUAUGGCCUAUUAAUUGUAGGUCCUGUGAAUGGUUUGACGAGUCUUCAACUGUCUCUGAUUUGCUUUGGUGAAAUUGAAUUGGAAGUGCAAAUGCUUCCGUAGGUAAGAAAGACGAGAAGACCCCGUGAAGUUAGAAAUUCAAGCCAUGAACGUUAGUCCUCUAAGUUUAUUGGCUUAGGUUUAUGAGGGUUUGGGGGUUUGUUUAUCUGAUUCCUGGGCUGUUAUUAGUGGAGGGGCAUGGUGGUAGUUUUGGCUGGGGCAGCAAAGGAGCAAAGCUAGACUCCUAUUUGAUUUUAAGCAGUUGUGCUACGACCCACAGAGUUUUUUUGUGUGAUUAGCAGAAGGAGUUACUCCGGGGAUAACAGCGUUAUCCGUCUUGACAGUUCUUAUAGAUGGGCGGGUUUGCGACCUCGAUGUUGGCUCUGGAUAUCCUUAGGCUUGCAGGCGGUCUUUAGGGUUGGUUCGUUCGCCCAUGAAAAUCCAACGUGAGCUGAGUUCAGAUCGGCGAAAGUUAGGUCGGUUUCUAUCUUCUUUCAAGUAAAGUUGGGCUUUAGGGUACGAAAGGACAUUUAGCUCUAGGUAAUAGCCUACGGUUAUUGAUGGAUAAAUAA